Molecule: ribosomal RNA, 169 nt
Filed under: uncultured bacterium
Lineage: Bacteria
Description: partial 16S ribosomal RNA
Rfam family: Bacterial small subunit ribosomal RNA
Source: RNAcentral
CUGAUGCAGCAAUGCCGCGUGAGUGAUGACGGCCUUCGGAUUGUAAAGCUCUGUUCUUCAGGGACGAUAAUGACGGUACCUGAGGAGGAAGCCACGGCUAACUACGUGCCAGCAGCCGCGGUAAACGUAGGUGGCAAGCGUUGUCCGGAUUUACUGGGCGUAAAGGGAG